GCACGUAAGCCUCUGAGAUUAAUUUCAUUUCUCAAAGCCAUCGAUCUUUAGAAUUUGGAACUGGAAGAUGGCGUUCGCUUCAACAAUUCGACGCUUUCUCUCAGGCUCAGCUUCUCCUACUCUCCAACCGCAGCUCUUCUCUUCUCGUCUCUACUCAACUCUCACUUCUCCAAAGCUUUUCGUCAGUGGCCUUUCAAGACUAACAACAGAUGAGAAGCUUAAAGAGGCAUUUUCUCCCUUUGGACAGCUUGUUGAAGCAAAAGUCGCAGUGGACAGGGUCUCUAGAAGAUCAAAGGGGUUUGGUUUUGUCACAUAUACAACAAUAGAAGAAGCAGAGAAGGCCAGAGAGGGGAUGAAUGCCAAAUUUUUGGAUGGAUGGGUAAUUUUUGUAGACCCUGCCAAGCCAAGAGAGCAGAGACCUCCACCAGCACCAGAGCCUUCUGAAACUGGUUUCAAAAUAAAUAAGACCAUUGGAUGGUGUGGGUGAUUGCAUUGGAAGUUUUGAUUUCAUUGUAGUGGAAGAGUUGCUCGAAAGCUAUACCCGAGAUUAGUCAAGAAUACAAUUUACAAUUUAAGUUGAGGAACAUGUUGAGUGAUUUAUUACAGACAAGCAUAACUUAUUAACCUUUUCUGUUGAUUUGUUUUAGCUUCCUUAUUGUGCGAUCCUGUAUUUGUUUUGGUUGAACCUCCAUUCAUGGGGCAUUGAACUUCUUUUGCCUCCUAUUAAGAU
RNAcentral lists this unclassified non-coding RNA (730 nucleotides) under Hevea brasiliensis (rubber tree). The record is from RNAcentral. Lineage: Eukaryota; Viridiplantae; Streptophyta; Magnoliopsida; Malpighiales; Euphorbiaceae.